GAAUAGUUCGUGGUGGAGGAGACAAUUUUGCAAGCCAACCCAUUCCUAACAGAGCCGCCGGUUUACUCCAUCAACAAACAUCCCCAAACCCGUCAGAUCUUCCAAACAAAUUUAUGUUUCUGUUGAGAGUUGAUUCCUUAAGUAAGUCCUGCAAGUGAAGAAGAUGAAUCAGUCAGAAUAAGAACAACGAAAUAAGACGAAGAUAAUCAAGUUGUAAGUGGAAGAAGAAGAAGAAGACAAAAGUCAGAACAACAAAACAGAGAAAAUAAAAUAGAGAAAAAGAGAGUUCGAGAGUAAGAACGAAAAGAGAUACAAACCUGAGGUCCUGAGCUAAAAUACAACAAAGUUUCCAGGGAGAUUUAAGAAAUGAAUGAACUCGAAAACCAACAAAAAUAUCACAUACCGAGAAAUUAGUGGGAUUGGUUGUCGUCGAUCUCGUCUCGGAAACGAUUACGAUGGUUUACCGUCAAUUUCUCCGACAAAUUUUUGAGGCUUCCUUGUCGUCGGUGAUUUCCGAGAGGAUAUCAACAAUUCUCCGAGGGAUGAAAUUUC
Molecule: long non-coding RNA, 552 nt
Filed under: Brassica rapa (field mustard)
Lineage: Eukaryota; Viridiplantae; Streptophyta; Magnoliopsida; Brassicales; Brassicaceae
Description: long non-coding RNA (BRAP_LNC002046)
Source: RNAcentral